GAUGAACGCUGGCGGCGUGCCUAAUACAUGCAAGUCGAGCGAACGGACGAGAAGCUUGCUUUUCUGAUGUUAGCGGCAGACGGGUGAGUAACACGUGGAUAACCUACCUAUAAGACUGGGAUAACUUCGGGAAACCGGAGCUAAUACCGGAUAAUAUUUUGAACCGCAUUGUUCAAAAGUGAAAGACGGUCUUGCUGUCACUUAUAGAUGGAUCCGCGCUGCAUUAGCUAGUUGGUAAGGUAACGGCUUACCAAGGCAACGAUGCAUAGCCGACCUGAGAGGGUGAUCGGCCACACUGGAACUGAGACACGCUCCCGACUCCUACGGGAGGCAGCAGUAGGGAAUCUUCCGCAAUGGGCGAAAGCCUGCCGGAGCAACGACGCGUGAGUGAUGAAGGUCUUCGGAUCGUAAAACUCUGUUAUUAGGGAAGAACAUAUGUGUAAGUAACUGUGCACAUCUUGACGGUACCUAAUCAGAAAGCCACGGCUAACUACGUG
Molecule: ribosomal RNA, 497 nt
Filed under: uncultured bacterium
Lineage: Bacteria
Description: partial 16S ribosomal RNA
Rfam family: Bacterial small subunit ribosomal RNA
Source: RNAcentral